AUUAAGAGAGAAAAAUUGUAAGGUGAAGAGAAGAGAAGAGAGAAAAUUUAUUGUUUUUCUUCUAAGUCCUUUUUUUUCCUACUUGUUUUUUCCUAUUACAAGAGAGAUUAUUCAUUGUUAUCUCCUUGUAUUUAGAAAGAUUGUUGUAAUUCUCCUACUAUAGUAAAAUCCUCCUAUACUUGCCCGUGGACGUAGCCUAAAUUGGGUAAACCACGUAAAUACUUGUGUCCAUUUUCAGCUGCGAUUUCUCAAUUCCAUUUUGUUGUAAAGCCAAAGUCGACCCACGUUAUUUCUAACACACGCGACAUGGGUAUGUAUACGGAAUAUAUGUUGGAUCCUCUAGAUUUCAACCGAAUAUUUUGUCGUUUUUGCUUCUCUUUCUUUCCUUUUUUUUUCCUCUUUUCCUUUACUUUCCCUUUUCUUCUUUCCCAUUUUCACUCUAUAAACCUAGCAUCACCGCUGAGAGGGUGAAGAAGGAUUGGGGCGCU
Molecule: long non-coding RNA, 488 nt
Filed under: Olea europaea subsp. europaea
Lineage: Eukaryota; Viridiplantae; Streptophyta; Magnoliopsida; Lamiales; Oleaceae
Source: RNAcentral